CGGACGGGUGAGUAAUGUCUGGGAAACUGCCUGAUGGAGGGGGAUAACUACUGGAAACGGUAGCUAAUACCGCAUAACGUCGCAAGACCAAAGAGGGGGACCUUCGGGCCUCUUGCCAUCGGAUGUGCCCAGAUGGGAUUAGCUAGUAGGUGGGGUAACGGCUCACCUAGGCGACGAUCCCUAGCUGGUCUGAGAGGAUGACCAGCCACACUGGAAUUGAGACACGGUCCAG
This 232-nucleotide ribosomal RNA is filed under the name uncultured bacterium. RNAcentral describes it as "partial 16S ribosomal RNA". It matches the Rfam family "Bacterial small subunit ribosomal RNA", at positions 99 to 334 of the family's 1533-position model. The record is from RNAcentral.